Molecule: long non-coding RNA, 649 nt
Filed under: Musa acuminata (dwarf banana)
Lineage: Eukaryota; Viridiplantae; Streptophyta; Magnoliopsida; Zingiberales; Musaceae
Description: long non-coding RNA (MACU_LNC006754)
Source: RNAcentral
AAAGACAGUUGACAAAGAAGCUUUCACACACUAUUUUGGCAGUUUAUGUGGGAAUCAAGAGGAAGCAAUUAAAAGUAAACUGAAACCAAAUAAGCAAAAGUAGAAAAUAGUUAGAGCCAAGAAGCUCACAAUAUUCUUGUAAUGUGUUGAACCUUUAAUAUGAUUAUGGUUAUUUAAACUUCAAUUUUUCAUACAGUUCUCGCGGCACAUAAAUAAUAGAGCAUUCACUCAAGUUACAGCAAAGAACUAUUACAAUAUUCUCGACCUUAUCCACCAUAACCAAUUGGAUCGUGAAAGAGAAAGGGAAGGAACAACUACCUUUUUUAAGUCGAGACAACAUAGUUAUCUUCCUAUUGUCAGAUAAAGCCCCUCUAUUUAAAUAAUCUAUCUUUCAAAGAGGCUAAAAAUAUAAGGCAAAGCUGUUGGCCAUCGUUUCUUUCUGAAAUAAAGAUUCUCAUAGAUACUAGUACUGGUCGUAUAGCAUGAAUAUCCACCACCUCAUUGCUCAAAUUGAAACGAUUUCAUGUCCAUAUCAGACAACGCAGCCUUGCAUCUUCCGGCUAUUUAACAAAGAGGCAUCAGAUGGAAGAAAAAAAAGGGAGUAUCUUUCACAGAGGAGAGCCAAAAGAGAGAUCUUUAACCCACCCAG